This 72-nucleotide transfer RNA is filed under the name Bos taurus (domestic cattle). It matches the Rfam family "tRNA". Rfam says of the family: Transfer RNA (tRNA) molecules are approximately 80 nucleotides in length. Their secondary structure includes four short double-helical elements and three loops (D, anti-codon, and T loops). Further hydrogen bonds mediate the characteristic L-shaped molecular structure. tRNAs have two regions of fundamental functional importance: the anti-codon, which is responsible for specific mRNA codon recognition, and the 3' end, to which the tRNAs corresponding amino acid is attached (by aminoacyl-tRNA synthetases). tRNAs cope with the degeneracy of the genetic code in two manners: having more than one tRNA (with a specific anti-codon) for a particular amino acid; and 'wobble' base-pairing, i.e. permitting non-standard base-pairing at the 3rd anti-codon position. RNAcentral also lists the same sequence under 4 other names. The record is from Rfam by way of RNAcentral. Lineage: Eukaryota; Metazoa; Chordata; Mammalia; Artiodactyla; Bovidae.
UCCCAGAUAGCUCAGAUGGUAAAGAAUCUGCCUGCAAUGCAGGAAACCUGGGUUUGAUCCCUGGGUUGGGAA